This 560-nucleotide long non-coding RNA is filed under the name Mytilus galloprovincialis (Mediterranean mussel). The record is from RNAcentral. Lineage: Eukaryota; Metazoa; Mollusca; Bivalvia; Mytilida; Mytilidae.
AUCUUUCUUGGUGUUCCCGGCUGUGUUUUAUCAAUCAAUUUUCUCCCUUUUCUCACUUUGGUAUUCCACUGUUACAUUACACACCAAACGAAACUCAAACAAUAUGGAAAAAGGUAACAUUUUUACCUAAGUAAUAUAUGAAAAGGUAUACAUUUUUGUAAUCUAAAUUAUAUGAAAAGAAUGGGGUAACUGAAUCCCAGCGACACCCCUAUUGAUAAGGUAUUGAAGUGGCCCCACCUAGCAAUACGCAUUAUAGUAAAUUUCUUACUUUUUAUGCCUGUUUGUAAAGGUUAUAUCCGUCAGCUAUUCCUUUUUCCUAUUUUUAAGAGAAUAUCUCUUUACGGGAUAAAUUACUAUUUUCGUAAGAUGUCAAGUUAUAUAUAGUAAUUUGUAUUGUCUUUCGUGUAAAUACAGAUUGUUAACCUUUUUAUUAUAUAACAUCUGUGCUCUGAAUUUUAUUGAAUAUUACAUAUUGUAUAGUGCAAAUGACAGGCUGUUACUAUGUAAUUACAGCGUAAACAAGUUACUUUGUUUUACAGCAUAUAAAAAGUUGCAACCCC